Suricata suricatta (meerkat) is the source of this 229-nucleotide long non-coding RNA. RefSeq lists it as uncharacterized. Lineage: Eukaryota; Metazoa; Chordata; Mammalia; Carnivora; Herpestidae. The record is from RefSeq and is a predicted model, not a curated record. The transcript is spliced from 3 exons.
UCAGUCAUGUGCACCCAUUCCCCAUAUAAUUUCUUCAUGAAGGAAGACUGUGUCUAAUAUGUCUCUUUCCACCUUCAAAAGAACUUUCUUUUGCCUUUGCAACAUUCUCCAGAUGAAAAGCACUGAGGAUGAAGGUGCACUGACUGGGAAUUUCAGUUUCUUUUUCCUGCAAGGUAGUUGGAAGAGUUGAAGAGGAGCGCCUUGGCCAAAGCUCAGGUGAUGAUACCGG